Molecule: ribosomal RNA, 332 nt
Filed under: uncultured eukaryote
Lineage: Eukaryota
Description: partial 18S ribosomal RNA
Rfam family: Eukaryotic small subunit ribosomal RNA
Source: RNAcentral
CCCUUAGAUGUUCUGGGCUGCACACGUGCUACACUGGCAGGUUCAGCGAGCUUCAUGCCCUGAUCCGAAAGGAAUGGGAAAUCUUUUCAAAACCUGCCGUGCUUGGGAUAGAUGUUUGCAAUUAUUCAUCUUCAACGAGGAUUGCCUUGUAAGCGCACGUCAUCAGCGUGCAUUGAAUACGACCCUGUAUUCUGUACACACCGCCCGUCGCUCCUACCGAUUGAAGUUUUCGGUGAGUUGACAGGAGGAUUUUUUUGAAACUGGUUCGCCAGUGGAUUUCAGAUCCAAAUGCCAACGAAUCGAUGGCUUUAGAGGAAGGAGAAGUCGUAACA